GGGUCAGUAGGUUGGUCGUGCCACCGGUACGUACUGGUCUCACUGAUUCCUCCUUCCUGAAGAACCGUAAUGCCAUUAAUUUGGUGUUGCGGGGAAACAGGACUGUUACUUUGAAAAAAUUAGAGCGUGUAAAGCAAGCUAACGCUUGAAUACAUUAGCAUGGAAUAAUGAAAUAGGACGAUCGAUCCUAUUUUGUUGGUUUCUAGGAUUGACGUA
This 216-nucleotide ribosomal RNA is filed under the name Glomeromycotina sp. Its description in RNAcentral is "partial small subunit ribosomal RNA". The stretch from base 40 to 216 matches the Rfam family "Eukaryotic small subunit ribosomal RNA", at positions 686 to 864 of the family's 1831-position model. Lineage: Eukaryota; Fungi; Glomeromycota. The record is from RNAcentral.